GAAGCAUCGGACCUAAAGAGCUUCCUGAAAUGGGCAGCUGAGUUGGGAAUCUCAGCCACUCCUUUAACUUCAACCCCUCAAUCAGAUUCAUGUUUGGGACACUCCCUUUUUGUCUCUAAUAUCCCUGAUGCAGGAGGGUAUAUAUAUAUUAAUCAAAACUCUUUUCUCCUUAUGAAUAUGUUAUAUACGCAUGGUGAUGAAUGAAUGAUUUUUCUGAUGUUGCAGGAGAGAUUUAGCAGCAGCUCGUGAUAUUCGGAAAGGGGAAUUGAUUCUUAAAGUUCCAAACGGAGCGUUAAUGACUAGUCAAAG
This 309-nucleotide long non-coding RNA is filed under the name Nicotiana benthamiana. Its description in RNAcentral is "long non-coding RNA (NBEN_LNC009685)". Lineage: Eukaryota; Viridiplantae; Streptophyta; Magnoliopsida; Solanales; Solanaceae. The record is from RNAcentral.